UGAAAACCCAUGUUCUGUUGCAUACAAGCUUCCCAUGCAUGGAGAUGGUUUAGUGGAAGUCAGUAUCGUAAAUGACAAAGGCCAUUUUCUGAAGCCCCAAACCCCGGAUCCAUUUUAAUCACCCUUGGUGUUUUAUUAGAAUCAUCUCAGGGGGAAGUAGGAGCAAAAAGAGACAUCCUUAGAUGACCUGAAGAGUCAGCUAAAUGGCCUGCCAUCUCUCAUGAUUCUCCAUCACACUCAUUUGCCUCUCUUGCCGUCAUCUGCUUAUUUCCUCUUCUCCAUCUCUGACUCUGCCCAUGACCCUCUCAGGCCUGUUUGAUUUCCUUCUGGUGGGAGGGGAGAGUACCUUUCCAGACUAGCAACAAUUGGCUUCAGGGCCCUGCUCAGUACCUGUGCCCUCCUUACCCAGGCCUUACUUUCCUCCCAGCCCCUUGCCUACAACCUUAGUCAGAUUAUCAGAAACACUUCUAGUCAUUGACUAUGAGUAAAACAUCCACAAUCAUCAGAAACUAGCCCUCAUUGAGGGCCAGUUUAUCCUCACUCCCCACUACCAUGCUCCAUCAGGUUUUCUCCACUGCAAGGCCAACAGCCUCUAUCAUGAUGCUAAUUAUCUCCACCUUAGCACCUCAACUGUGAUGCCACUGUCCAUGCCAUAUCCCAGCAUGCUAACAAGGAGACUUACUCCACUCCUAUCCAAUGACUUGUUCAGCCCUUGAUCCAUGGAGAUAAGAAAUGAGAGCACCUUCUAGAAACCAACUUCCAAGCUUUGGCUUCCACAAGCACCCCACUGCCUAGCUCAUCUGCCCCACCCAGAUCUGAACACCAUGAGCAAGAUCAUCAGGAGUUUCCUGGGAGCCUUAACAAAAUUCUGAACAGUUUCCAUAAAGUGGGUAGAAGUGAGUAAAUGCAAGGCUUUCUGGAACCAUAUAAGACUAUAUAAAUUUUCUUUGUAAAUUAGGAGAACCAUAUUCAGUGGAAAUAGAAAUAGAAAAGACUUUGAAGAUUUGGCAGGUAAGUUAACUAGGUCAUUCCAGGGCUGUCUCUCAUAACCCUCUCAGUCCAGCCUCAGCCUCUGCUGUCACUAAUCUCUCCAUCUUGUCUCUGCCUUCUUCUCUGUGUCUCUCCUCUCUCUGGCCUACCUUAUCUUCCCCUCUCCCUACUUGCUUUUCCCCCAGACAUUAUAGAAGAGAGUUCCUUAGGUAGUAGGCUAGUCCAGAUGGCUUUGCAUUUCAACUGUUGCUCAAAGAGAGCUUGUUGGUUCCCCUACAGAUACAUAUUUAAGUGGAAUUUGGGGACUCAAAAGCACUCUUUGCUCUUCCUUCAACAUCACCUUCUCUUAGCUACCUCAGAGCUGCCCAGUCUGCACCCCUCCCAACAAAUGCCAAUCAUUCAAUGACUUGCUAAAAAGAGAGCACACAUUAGUGAGGGUAGGAAGGCCAAGGGAAAUGGAGUAUUGACAUCAGGAGUUUCAUUUUUUCUGUUCAGAACCUUGACGCACUGUACUAUGCACUCUCUAUUUAGGAGCCUCAGUUGAUACACACCCUGCUUGCCAAAUAGAAAAUUUAGAAGAGUCUUUUCCUCUCUUCCCUCAGAAAUUUGUGGUGCCUGAGUCGGUUGACAUUUGUGACAAUGAUUGUUGGGAAUUUCCAAUGGAGUCUUGAAUCUCACCACCAUUCCCUUUUCUUAGGAGAGACAACUAGGGGGGCUCCUCCCCAUGACCCCACCCCAGCAAUCAUGACAACUGUUAUGUAUAUCAUACAUGGUUCACCCAGGGCCUAACCAUGCCACAACCCAUUCUAGUUCUCACCUGUUCCCCUCUCUUUCACCUCACUUCUAACAGGCUCUAUUGAAGACACUUGGAAGGGCAGCCUCUCCCCAUGCCUACUUCCCAUCCUUUGGGUUUCCAGCUGCAGAACAUACCAGCACCCUCUCUCUUUAGUUCAAUUCUUCCCUCUCAUUCCCCCAAUGGAGGAGUGGUUUCUGCAGCUCUCAUAAUCACGGGGGGAGAGAAGCGGACAAGUAGAAUGGACUAUUUUCCUGGCACUCUUUUACUUCUCCACUCACUUCCUCCAACUGCCUUUGAACUACUAGACUUGAACGACCCCUCCCCUACCCUUCCAAAGGGAGCAAUAAUAAUAGCUAGCACUUACUGAGUGACAACUAUGUACCAAGCAUGAUUUGCUCAGCUUUUCUGGGACUCCAGCUCUCAGUCCCUGUGGCACUCUCUCUUUCCUUUGUCAAACUUUCCAUCUCUCAACUCCCUGUCUCAUCUCUCUUUAUCUCCAACUCCAUCUUCUAACCAGUUAUGGGGUGAUCCACUGUCAUUCUUCCAGAGGCCCCAUCUUAUGUGACUAGACCCUUCAAGGAUGGGCCACUCCAUCUCUAUGCUCAGACCAUCACUAGCUACUCUCAGGAAUUGUCUCAUGGUCCAGGCUACCCUUUUCACCAUCCAAGCCAGCUCUUACCACAACCACUGCCUCAUCACCCCACUGCCAGUUAGCCCCCGAUUCCUGGACCUUAAGAGUCCCCAGAAGUGACCCCAUCCUUUCCCCCAGGUCCCAGAACCUAUCCAGACCACAAGAAUGGCCACGGCAUUUCACACAGGUUACAAAAGCUGCAAUAAGCAUUUUUGACUCCAGCCUUCUGCUGCGUGACUCCUCUGUCCCCAUUCCCGGCCGCCUUUCCCCUCCCUCCUGCCCACUCACUUGCCCACCAACUGUUUAGCAAAGCAAAACCCCCUUUAUAAAAUGAUUCAUUCAAUAUGACACUCUCAUUUCUCCUGAAGGGUUCGUUUGUUCUUUUAGAGCCCCAAACGCAUUCCUUCUUUGGAAAUUUCUUUACACCCUUUACUGAGAAGACGCUGGAUUUUGAGUGUGAAAAAUGGCUGAAUCUACUUCGGAAAAAAAUAAAACCGUUACCCCAGGAUCUCGCAAAGCGAGAAUUGACUGGUAACUGCCAUCACGCUUCCAAGGCUCAUCAUUCACUGGGCUACUGACCUGUCAAUCACUUCUGCUAGGCCAAUGAGCAGCACCCCCUGACACAAACGGAGGUUGGAGGACAGGCCAAUCGCUCCCGGCUAUUUGAGCCAAUGGAGAAGUUCCUGAUGCCCACACCUGCUGGUCUCACCGCCAGGGCCUGGGCAUCACAGGCAGGGGGAAUGGGGAGGGGACGGUAGCGUCAGCCUACACCCACACGCAGUUUCCUGAUAAAAGGUCCUUUGGAAACUUUGAUUCUCUUCUCACCAAGUUGAACGGAGAUGUGUUCCCAUAGUAAGAGUGAGGCCCCUGCAUUUGCUGCCCUCGGUUUUCCCAACUAACACCAUGGCCUCCCCCCUGUACCCCAUUCAUACGCCUCAGAAGCUGACAAUGACUGUUGGGCUUUUCCAACGAAUACCAGAACACCAUUUCCUGCAGCCUGAAAAGAAGACAGUAUAAUUAUUUGGCAGCAAGAGGCCAAGCAGGAAACUAGAGAUAUGGUGAUGGUAGUGGUCCCAAGGAGGAGCUUUAACCUGAGCACCACCCACAGAAGGCAGACCACCCUCCCAGCCGCAGUGCAAAUGAAUGUUGGCCCCCACCCAGGUCCUCAAGUGCUUUCCCAGUCACGCCCCAGCUGCCCGGUUUUUUUCUCCAGGCCUACUACAGAUGGGUUACCCUGACUCCACCCCCAACACCCUCCAAUGAUUAGAACCACUGACUCCUCCCUCCCAUGCCUGCCUCCAUGGCAGGCCCCUGCAGAAACCAAACAUAGUCACCUUAGACUCUGGCAUACUGAGACCAGGGCUUGAUCCUGGCCCCCUUGCCUCCCUGGCAA
This 3810-nucleotide long non-coding RNA is filed under the name Pan troglodytes (chimpanzee). RNAcentral describes it as "long non-coding RNA NONPTRT002622". Lineage: Eukaryota; Metazoa; Chordata; Mammalia; Primates; Hominidae. The record is from RNAcentral.